Notolabrus celidotus (New Zealand spotty) is the source of this 948-nucleotide long non-coding RNA. RefSeq lists it as uncharacterized. NCBI's taxonomy places the organism in Eukaryota, Metazoa, Chordata, Actinopteri, Labriformes, Labridae. The record is from RefSeq and is a predicted model, not a curated record. The transcript is spliced from 8 exons.
CAGAAAAUCGUCUAGUUACUUUAAUAUGUAAUGAUCUUUUAUACAGUCUAUGGUAAUGAUAGCGAAAUUUAAUCAAGAGGAAACAACAAUAACAUUAGAAGGUGUCUCACUGUCGAACAUUUAACAGGUCCGUCAGACAGCAAGUGCAGCACGCCUUCAAUCUCCUCCCUCUCCCAGUCGGAGUUUCAGGCUAGGAACUGUUGAGUUGGCAGUAAAAUACCUCUUUCCACACAGCGAUGGUGGUAUAGUGGUCUGGUUGUGUGCAGUAAAGUUUGAGCAGCAUGGAAGAGACUUUGGAGGACGGUCCUGGAAGUGUUGAAGCAAGAAAGGAGUAUUCAACACCAACAGGGCCUGUGAGAGACACAUUCUUCAGCCAUCGCCUUGCAAGGUCUGGUUGUGUGCAGUAAAGUUUGAGCAGCAUGGAAGAGACUUUGGAGGACGGUCCUGGAAGUGUUGAAGCAACAAAGGAGUAUUCAACACCAACAGGGCCUGUGAGAGACACAUUCUUCAGCCAUCGCCUUGCAAGGUGAAUCUCAUCCGUCCAGGGAAACAUACCUUAAGGGAGUUGUCAUCUCAUUGGUGACGCUCCUUGGUGUUCACAUUCGCAGCUCAGGACUCCUGGAUGACCUCUCCCCUCAGCUGCUCAUGAGUUCUCCUGAGGAAGAGCUGGGCUAUGAUGGGUUGCCCAGACACUUCACCCUCCCAGCUCGCUCGUAGAAGGAGGCAAGACGAGCUCCCAGGUAGGCAGGAUACCCGCUGUCUUUGUGCAGAGACAGAAAACACUUUAAACACGGAGGAUCGGCUGCCAAGCAGGUCAGCAGAAUUACAUAACACAAGGACUUGAACCAGUGACCCUCCGGUUACCUGCAGACCGAGCUACUGCUGCCCCCAACGUCAGAGGUCAAAAUGUCAAGUUAUGAGAUAUAAAGUUAGAAUUACAACAAACAA